This 278-nucleotide long non-coding RNA is filed under the name Elaeis guineensis (African oil palm). RNAcentral's name for it is "long non-coding RNA (EGUI_LNC053548)". The record is from RNAcentral. Lineage: Eukaryota; Viridiplantae; Streptophyta; Magnoliopsida; Arecales; Arecaceae.
GGGGUUUUAUUCAUUCAGAUUUCUAUUCUAUCUCUUCUUUCUUACAUCUCUCUUCCUAUUGUCUAAUUAGUCUCUUUCUUUUCUUAUUAGGAUAAGUCCUAAAAUUAUAAGGACAAGUCUGAUUUUAGGACAAGGGCCUAGGAAGAGAUAUAAGAAAGAUAAGAAGACAAGAAAGGUAGAGAUAGGAAGACUAGGAGGAGAGGAAGAAGGCCUUGAGGUUUUGCUACCCAAAGAAAUUCUCAGAGUGAGAAUUUUAGAGGAGAAAUCAUCCUAAGGAG